UAUCAACGCUGGCGGCGUGCCUCAGACAUGCAAGUCGAACGAUUAAAGCUCCCUUCGGGGAGUGCAUAGAGUGGCGCACGGGUGAGUAACACGUAAGUAAUCUACCUUUGAGUGGGGAAUAACGUUCGGAAACGGACGCUAAUACCGCAUAAUGCAGCGGCAUCGCAAGAUGACAGUUGUUAAAGGAGCAAUCCGCUUAAAGAGGAGCUUGCGGCAGAUAGCUUGUUGGUAAGGUAACGGCUUACCAAGGCUACGAUCUGUAUCCGGUCUAAGAGGACGGUCGGACACACUGACACUGAAUAACGGGUCAGACUCCUACGGGAGGCAGCAGUCGGGAAUUUUGGGCAAUGGGCGAAAGCCUGACCCAGCAACGCCGCGUGAAGGAUGAAGUAUUUCGGU
This 399-nucleotide ribosomal RNA is filed under the name uncultured bacterium. Its description in RNAcentral is "bacterial SSU rRNA". It matches the Rfam family "Bacterial small subunit ribosomal RNA", at positions 32 to 422 of the family's 1533-position model. The record is from RNAcentral.